AGCACCACAACGGGUGGAGCUUGCGGUUUAAUUGGAUUCAACGCCGGAAAUCUUACCGGGACCGACAGCAAUAUGAAGGCCAGGCUGAAGACUUUGCCGGAUUAGCUGAGAGGUGGUGCAUGGCCGUCGUCAGUUCGUACUGUGAAGCAUCCUGUUAAGUCAGGCAACGAGCGAGACCCACGCCAACAGUUGCCAGCUCGUCCUCCGGGAUGGUGGGGACACUGUUGGGACCGCCUCUGCUAAAGAGGAGAAGGAAUGGGCAACGGUAGGUCAGCAUGCCCCGAAUUAUCUGGGCUACACGCGGGCUACAAUGGGUGGGACAAUGGGUAUCGACACCGAAAGGUGAAGGCAAUCUCCUAAACCCAUCCGUAGUUCGGAUUGUGGGCUGCAACUCGCCCACAUGAAGCUGGAAUCUGUAGUAAUCGUGUCUCAAAAUGGCACGGUGAAUAUGUCCCUGCUCCUU
RNAcentral lists this ribosomal RNA (463 nucleotides) under uncultured Methanomicrobiales archaeon. RNAcentral's name for it is "bacterial SSU rRNA". It matches the Rfam family "Archaeal small subunit ribosomal RNA", at positions 875 to 1338 of the family's 1478-position model. Lineage: Archaea; Methanobacteriati; Methanobacteriota; Methanomicrobia; Methanomicrobiales. The record is from RNAcentral.